GGACCCGCACAAGUAGUGGAGCAUGUGGUUUAAUUCGAAGAUACGCGCAGAACCUUACCAACACUUGACAUGUUCGUCGCGACUCUAAGAGAUUAGAGUUUUCGGUUCGGCCGGACGAAACACAGGUGCUGCAUGGCUGUCGUCAGCUCGUGUCGUGAGAUGUUGGGUUAAGUCCCGCAACGAGCGCAACCCUCACUUUUAGUUGCCAUCAUUAAGUUGGGCACUCUGAAAGAACUGCCAGUGAUAAGCUGGAGGAAGGUGGGGAUGACGUCAAGUCCUCAUGGCCCUUACGUGUUGGGCUACACACGUGCUACAAUGGUAUCUACAACAGGUUGCCCAACCCCCGCGAGGGUGAGC
This 357-nucleotide ribosomal RNA is filed under the name uncultured bacterium. Its description in RNAcentral is "bacterial SSU rRNA". It matches the Rfam family "Bacterial small subunit ribosomal RNA", at positions 917 to 1268 of the family's 1533-position model. The record is from RNAcentral.